Long non-coding RNA from Perca fluviatilis (European perch), 1603 nucleotides. RefSeq lists it as uncharacterized. The transcript is spliced from 4 exons. The record is from RefSeq and is a predicted model, not a curated record. NCBI's taxonomy places the organism in Eukaryota, Metazoa, Chordata, Actinopteri, Perciformes, Percidae.
AGCCCGCUCCAUACCAUAUGGAAUCAUGGGUAAAAAAAAAAAAAAAAAAAGCUCCUUGACAAUGAACCAAUCUCAUGCAGACCCCGUGGCAAGGUGAGCGGCAGUCAUCUGCUCAGAGAGGGAAAACACACACCCCCUCUCUCUCACACACACACAUAUACCCUCACACACACACACAUAUACCCUCACACACUCUCACACACACACACACACAUAUAUACCCUCACACACUCUCACACACACACACAUAUACCCUCACACACUCUCACACACACAGGACACACAGCCGAGCAGAAUGAUGAGCCUUUUUCCACAUCACCGUACGCCUCGGGUCGCUUCUCCCUUCUCCUUUUUUUCUCUCUCCCCCCUUCCUCGGGUAUAAUUAGGGCUUUAUCGUCAUCCUCACCCGAGAGCAAGAACAAGAAGAAGAAGAGGAAGAGGAAGAAGAAGAGGAAGAAAAAGAAAAAGAGAAGAGAAGAAGCAGUCCAGGGGCAGAACUGAACUGACUCCACAACUUGUAAUGCGUCUUUAUGGUGACUUUAACGGGACGGAGGCAGGUAGAGAGAGAGAGAGAGAGAGAGAGGGAGAGAGAGAGAGAGAGAGAGAGCUCUGGACACAUGGAACUGCUUACACACUAUCAUGUUAGCUUUUGUUUUGGGUUUCCAUCUUUUCCUCUUCCCCCCCCCCCGCUCCAUCCCUCUUUCUUCUCCCCUGAAUGAAUCCCUCCGUCCCUCCUUCUUCUUCAAGCAGGACAGAAAACUCGUGUGUUUUGCCAUAAAUACCUCCACGCCGAAGGAUCCCGUGGAAGCCCGGAGAGACGGUCCAUCGCGCCUGCAAAAGACACAACACGACAACACAGAAUCAAGCCUGUGAAUGCAUCGCUGUUUUUGCAGCCGACCACUGGAUAAUGACAGAUAAAAGCAGCGGAGAACGUCCGACGCGGAGCAGCAGCAGCAGCAGCGUCCCAUCCUGUCGCACAUCAACAAACUUGCUGUAACCUGGCUGGAGUACUCGAGUCCGGACUUGGACCUGGACUUGGACCUGGACUUGGACCUGGACUUGCCACUGGCGUUGCCAAAUACAGCUUUUGGUCUCGACCGAGUCCAGGUGUCUUCACUAUGUUUAUAAUCACAUUGGAGGGAAAGUGCAACACUGGCCACCUGAUAACCAAUCACACACUAGACACUGUUUUUGCUUUUGCAAAUAAUAACCCCAAAAUGAUUGUCUUGAUACUGUCAUGCAUAAGAUUUUUAAUUUUUUCAUCUGUCCUGGACUCGGUCUUGUCUUGAAUUUGAACCUCUUUGGACUCGGCCUUGACCUGGUCUCGACUAGGUGGUCUUGGACUUGUCUUGGACUCAACAAAGGUGGUCUUGGCUACAGCCCUGACUCCUACAUAUAUAUACAGUAUACAAACUGCUGUCCCAGAUGCUGGUGGUGCAUUCAGCUCCCAGUAGGAGGCAGUGUUGUGUUUCUGGGUUUUAUUUAUUUUGUCUUGAAGAGGAAUGUGGACUGAAAUCAGGACAGCUGUUUCUGAUUUGACUCACCUGCUCCCUGACUGUAGCCGACUCUUCCUGCUGUCAUGUUCCAGUGAAUCUGGGUUUCC